This 468-nucleotide ribosomal RNA is filed under the name uncultured bacterium. RNAcentral's name for it is "partial 16S ribosomal RNA". It matches the Rfam family "Bacterial small subunit ribosomal RNA", at positions 28 to 507 of the family's 1533-position model. The record is from RNAcentral.
GAUGAACGCUGGCGGCGUGCUUAACACAUGCAAGUCGAACGGAAAGGCGCUGCUUUCGCGGGGUGCCCGAGUGGCGAACGGGUGUGUAACCUGUGAGUAUCCUGGCUUUGACUUUGGGAUAACUUCAGGCAAGUGGGGCUAAUACCGGCUAGGUGAUGCUGAUGCAUGGUGGGGGUCGGAACGUUUGGGCGGUUUGGGAUGGACUCGCGGCUUAUCAGCUUGUUGGUGGAGUAGUGGCUUACCAAGGCUUUGAUUGGUAGUCGGCCUUGGAGGGUAGUCAGCCACAUGGGUACUAAGGUACGGCGCAGACUCCAACGGGAGGCAGCAGGGGAGAAUAUUGCACAAUGGUCGCAAGCCUGAUACGACAGCCCCGCGAGCGUGAUGACGGCCUACGGGUUGUGAACCGCUUUCACCUGUUACGAAGCGUUAGUGACGUUAAUGGGUGAAUAAGCACCGGCUAACUACGUG